Long non-coding RNA from Numida meleagris (helmeted guineafowl), 1107 nucleotides. RefSeq lists it as uncharacterized. The record is from RefSeq and is a predicted model, not a curated record. NCBI's taxonomy places the organism in Eukaryota, Metazoa, Chordata, Aves, Galliformes, Numididae. The transcript has 3 exons.
UCCCCAGGCUCAGAGCCUCUCCUUCAUUCCCAAAUUCACCUCUGAACAGCGCAGGAGCAUGGGGGGCUGUGGUCAGCUCACAGCAGUUCUUCUCCAUUGCUCCCUCCCGUCACAUUUUCUCUGUUCCAGCUCAGGGUCCUGCACAGGCUGCACUGGGGAUGCCUGUUCUGCCAUGGGCUCUCCGCUGGCUGCAGGCGACCCUCUCUGGUACCUGGAGCCCCUUCCUAUCUGGCCAGGGUGCUCACAGAGCUGUUUCACACACCUUUUCCCUCACAGCAUUUGCCCUUUCUCAGGCAUUUCCACAGAGGCACCACUGCCUUUGCGGAGGCCUGAGGAACCAUCCGGAACCAUCCGGAACCAGCUGUGGGGCACAGGGCGCCCCAGCCUCUCCUCACAGAGGUUGUGCCUGCAGCCCUCACCGCCAGUGCCUGUGUGGGGACUCCCAGCACUUAAUAACCAAGCAGUUUUGUACCUGGGAACACGAUGAGUAACUUAGGGAUUUGCUUUAAGGUUUUUAUAGAGAUAUUUUCAAAAUUUGGCAGUUGGAAGCCGAAAAGUUGGAGGUAACAAAGCUGAAUGAAGCUGUAAAUGCAAGGCUGCAGAAGAACCUGUCUACAAGGUACAUUUAUGGCUCUCGGGUACCAUAAGGUGGUUUCCCAUCCUGGCAAAUGCUCUGGAGCUGGAAGCUGAAGGCGUCCAAUGUGAGGAGAGACUUUGCUGCAGCAGCACCUGUACCACAGAGGCAGAAGGCCGUGCUGCAGCAGGUGUAGUCACAAGAUCAAAUAUGUCAAAGGUGUUAAGAAAUAAAGCUGAAAUGUGGAAAUGGAUUUUCUGAGUGUUGCCGUGCUGUUAUGGUUGCUGCAUCGCUGACUUGGCUGGUGGAGUUGAGAACAGACUUAAAAAUGCAGAGAAUCCACAAUAAACUGUGAAUGGAAGGCUCUGUAACGAGCACCUUGGAAGAUGAAAUCUGAAUUUGGAUUGAUCUGAAGGUGAAGAAUUAGGAUCAGGCAACCAGUGUAGGUAAGUGCAGAGUUAGAAAUGUUAGAGAAUAUUUGGCGUGAUAGUUGGUCAGCAAAAAUAGAUCUGGUGGCUAUACCAUGUAGUAAA